This 24-nucleotide small nuclear RNA is filed under the name Arabidopsis thaliana (thale cress). Its description in RNAcentral is "snRNA_16159". The record is from RNAcentral. Lineage: Eukaryota; Viridiplantae; Streptophyta; Magnoliopsida; Brassicales; Brassicaceae.
GUUUUUUCACGGAUAUUCGAAAUC